CUUGUUAUACUCAAUCUCUUAUAGUUCUCUUCUCUUACAGCGACUGCCUCGCUGAUCUCACAAUUGUUAAAACGCUGUUAGCUACUUUAGCUUAGCCAUUAGCAAUGGCUAAUUCCUCUCCCUCUCCUGCUCUUUCUUGCUUGGUGUGUCAAAUGAUUAGCUAUUAUUCUGCCUCCUUUAGUGAUAAAGAUACAUGUAAUAAAUGUAGUUUAUUUGCUGCUCUGGAGGCGAGGCUUAGUGAGUUUGAGGCACACGGCUCCGCACCAUGGAAUCAAAAUCGUAUGCUUCCGUAGCUAGCCAGCGCCAUGCAGUUAAUGCUGG
Long non-coding RNA from Sander lucioperca (pikeperch), 321 nucleotides. RefSeq lists it as uncharacterized. Lineage: Eukaryota; Metazoa; Chordata; Actinopteri; Perciformes; Percidae. The record is from RefSeq and is a predicted model, not a curated record. The transcript is spliced from 3 exons.